Molecule: ribosomal RNA, 1243 nt
Filed under: metagenome
Description: bacterial LSU rRNA
Rfam family: Bacterial large subunit ribosomal RNA
Source: RNAcentral
UGAAUACGAGACGCUAAGGCGUCGAAGUAGUGUAUGUCAUACUUCCAAGAAAAGCUUGCACUGUCAUAGAUAAAAAACGCCUGUACCAUAACCGACACAGGUGGGUAGGUAGAGUAUACUAAGGGGCGCGAGAUAACUCUCUCUAAGGAACUCGGCAAAAUAACUCCGUAACUUCGGGAGAAGGAGUGCCUUAUUCGUAAGGUUGCAAUAACAAGAUCCAAGCAACUGUUUAUCAAAAACACAGGUCUCCGCUAAGUCGUAAGACGAUGUAUGGGGGCUGACGCCUGCCCAGUGCCAGAAGGUUAAAGAAGUUGGUUAGCAAUUGCGAAGCUGAUAACUGAAGCCCUGGUAAACGGCGGCCGUAACUAUAACGGUCCUAAGGUAGCGAAAUUCCUUGUCGGGUAAGUUCCGACCCGCACGAAAGGCGUAAUGAUUUGGAUACUGUCUCGGAGAGGGGCUCGGUGAAAUAGACUUGUCUGUGAAGAUGCGGACUACCUGCACCAGGACAGAAAGACCCUAUGAAGCUUUACUGUAACUUGAAAUUGAAAUUGGACUUUAUUCGCGCAGUAUAGGUGGGAGGCGUUGAUUAUAAUCUUGUGGGAUUAUUGGAGCCAUCAGUGAGAUACCACUCUUGUAAUGUUAGAUUUCUAGCUUUGAAUCAUUAUCUGGUCAAAGAACAGUUUCAGGCGGGCAGUUUGACUGGGGCGGUCGCCUCCUAAACGGUAACGGAGGCGUACAAAGGUUUCCUCUGAACGGUUAGAAAUCGUAUCUAGAGUGUAAAGGCAUAAGGAAGCUUGACUGUGAGACCUACAAGUCGAGCAGGGACGAAAGUCGGUCUUAGUGAUCUGACGGUACUGAGUGGAAAGGCCGUCACUCAACGGAUAAAAGUUACUCUAAGGAUAACAGGCUGAUCUCCCCCAAGAGUUCACAUCGACGGGGAGGUUUGGCACCUCGAUGUCGGCUCAUCGCAUCCUGGGGCGGUAGUACGUCCCAAGGGUUGGGCUGUUCGCCCAUGAAAGCGGUACGCGAGCUGGGUUCAGAACGUCGUGAGACAGUUCGGUCCAUAUCCGGUGUAGGCGUUAGAAUAUUGAGAGGAGCCUUCUUUAGUACGAGAGGACCGAGAAGGACAUACCUCUGGUGUACCAGUUAUCGUGCCAACGGUAAACGCUGGGUAGCUAUGUAUGGAGUGGAUAACCGCUGAAAGCAUCUAAGUGGGAAGCCCACCUCAAGAUAAGUAUUCUCA